RNAcentral lists this ribosomal RNA (374 nucleotides) under Ixodes ricinus (castor bean tick). RNAcentral describes it as "partial large subunit ribosomal RNA". The record is from RNAcentral. Lineage: Eukaryota; Metazoa; Arthropoda; Arachnida; Ixodida; Ixodidae.
GGUAUUUUGACUAUACGAAGGUAUUGAAAUAAGAUUUUAAAUGAGUGCUAAGAGAAUGAUUAAACAAUUAAAAGCUUUCUUUAAUUGAAUAAUUGAAUUUAAUUUUUUAGUGCAAAAGCAAAAAUAAAAAUUAGGGACAAGAAGACCCUAUGAAUUUUUUAUUAAAUUUUAUAAAACUUUAUAUAAAAUUUAAUUUAAUUGGGGUGAUGGAAAAAGAAUAAAUAUCUUUUUUUAAAAGAAAAUUGGUUCCGUUUUUAGCGAUUAAAUGAAAAAAAUACUCUAGGGAUAACAGCGUAAUAAUUUUGGAUAGUUCAUAUAGAUAAAAUAGUUUGCGACCUCGAUGUUGGAUUAGGAUUCUUUUUUGGUGAAGAAGU